RNA transcript from Epinephelus fuscoguttatus (brown-marbled grouper), 3938 nucleotides. It is a transcript of the gene named KRI1 homolog, with no coding region annotated. The record is from RefSeq and is a predicted model, not a curated record. The transcript has 19 exons. Lineage: Eukaryota; Metazoa; Chordata; Actinopteri; Perciformes; Serranidae.
CUAUGACGUCAGGACCGGAAACUACGUAGUUCAGUUCUCCACACGCGCACGCCUUAGCAGGGAUGGCGUCCCUUUAACAGUGUGUAGUUUUAACUGUAUCAAAAAGCUGUUUUCUUCAUUAAAACCAUGUCGGAGUUAAAAAUAAACUCCCAGUUCGCUCAGAAAUACGAGAAAUACCGACAGAAGGAAGAACUACAGAGACUGAAGGACAAAUACGGAGACCGAGGAGAUGAGACUGAGUCGUCUGAGUCCAGCUCUGAUGACAGUGAAGUGGAGCUGGACCCUGAAACUGAGAGGGAUUUUUACAGGACAUUGUCACUGCUGAAGAAGAAAGACCCAAAGAUCUAUCAGACAGAUGCUAAGUUCUUCUCAGAAGGUGCAUCCAUCAGUGAUGAGAAGCCGUCAACCUCGAAGACAGCAGUGAAGCCCAUGUACCUGAAGGACUAUGAACGUAAAGUGAUACUGGAGAGGGAGGGUAAAUACGAGGAUGACGAUGACAGUGAUGACGAGGAAGCCGUCAGGAGAAUAGAGAGAGCUGCCUCUCCGAGCUACAUUCAAGAGCAGCGGGAGCUGAAGGAAAGCUUCCGUAAGUUUGUCCAGGACAGCGAUGAAGACGAUGGCGACGGCGGUGAGGGAGAAGGAGUGUCUGAGCUGCUGACCAGGAGGGUGAAGACACAGGAAGAGAAGGAUAAAGAGGAGGCGGACUAUGUGGAGUGGCUGAAAGGCCAGGCUGACCUCGAGGGUCCGGAGGAGGUGAAGGACAUGAAAUAUUUAAGGGACUACUGGAACGACCCGGAGCUGGAUGAGAAGGAGUGUUUCCUGAGAGACUACGUCCUCAACAAGGGCUACCUCGAUGAGGACGACGAUGACGACCGGAUCCCAACCUACGAUGAGGUGGUCCAGGAUGACGUGGAGGAUUCUGAAGAGGAAGGGGAGACUUUCUUGGAGAGGCAGGAGGACUUUGAGAGAAGCUACAACUUCCGCUUUGAAGAGCCUGACGCUCAGCAGAUCAAGACGUAUCCCCGUAACAUCGCCACGUCUGUACGCUCCAAAGACGACCGCAGGAAACGCAAAAGGGAGGAAGUGAAAGAAAGGAAGCAAAAGGAGAAAGAGCAGAAGCAAGAGCAGCUGAAGCAGCUCAAGAACUUGAAGAGAGGCGAGAUCAUGGAGAAGCUGAAGACGCUUCAGGAGCUGACCGGCAACGAGCAGCUCGCCUUCAGCCAGACUGACCUGGACGGAGAAUUUGAUCCACAAAAACACGACCAGCUCAUGCAGAAAUUCUUUGGAGAUGAAUAUUAUGGAGAAGAAGAAGAGGAGAAACCUCAGUUUGAGGAUGAUGAUGAAUUUGAGGAGCACUGGAACUGGGACACGUGGACAGGAGAGGAUCGAGACGAGGACUAUGGUGAAGAGGAGUAUGAAGAAGAGGAGAAUGACGCCUCUGGGCCCCACUGUGAUGAUGAAAACUUCAUUAUGGAUGCAGACUACGACCCGACCCAGCACGCCGCCUCCAAGAAGAAGAAGAUAAAAGAGAGGAAGAAGAUGAAGAAAGAGGAUCUGCCGCAAAUGGGCAAAAGGAGAAAAAAGUCUCACUUUGCUGAAGUCAUCACCAAACACAAGCCUGUGUUUGAUCCACAGGAGAAAUCCUUCGAGCAGUACCUGGAUGAAUACUACAAGCUGGACUACGAGGACAUCAUCGACGACCUCCCCUGCAGGUUCCGCUACAGGCAGGUCCUCGCCAAUGACUUCGGCCUGACCACUGAUGAGAUUUUAACGGCUGAUGACAAGGAGCUGAACCAUUGGUGCUCUCUGAAGAAGACGUGCAUGUUCAGGUCUGAGAAGGAAGAGAUGAGUGAUUUGAAGAACUAUAAAAUCAAGGCCAAGAAUGAGAAGAAGAAGAAAGAAGUCUUGAGCUCUGUUUACUCUCAGGAGGACAGAGAGCUGACAGAGGUGAAGACCAAGGUGGGGAAGAAGAGAAGAGAUCGUCUGAAGGAUGCUGAGAAGCGAGAGGCAGCAGAGGAUGGUGACGCCCCCGCCAUCAUGGACUCUGCAGAUGACACGCUCGCCCAGGCUCUCAGAGAGGCAGUGGACGAGGAGGAAGAGGAGGAGGAGAUUCUGGUACCCAAGAACAAGAAGAUGAAACAGGAAGAAGAGCCACAGGAAGAGGAGCCGCAGACAGAGGUGACCGCUGUGGAAGCAGCAGGUAAAGAUGAUGAAAGGACUGAGAGGCCCAAAUGGUCGAAGAAGAAGCACAAGUCCUCCAGUGGACGCCUCAUAUCAGGAAGCAGCGGGGUGAAAAUAGGCGGGCGUGAGUUCAGUCGACAGAGACUGAAGGCGUACGGCCUGAACCCCAAGAGACUGUUCUUCAGACAGCUCGGCCGACAGAGACGAAAAGAACGGGAGAAGAAAGAGAAGCUGAAGAACAAAGAGUGACGACACCUCAGAUUAACUGUCGAUGUACGAUCCUGUGAUUCCUACGGUCCACAAAUUAAACACAUUUUAAAAACAGUCAUUGUUUUGUGACCUCAAAUUUACAGUUUGAUUUGGGAAAAAAAUAGUGUUUAAAAUGAUGGCUACAGAUUUUGAGUUAAUUUGAUAUACCUACAAUUUAGUAUACAAUUAAUUAGAUAAUGGAUUUGGUGAAAUUAACAUUUCUCUUUCUACAUUUGUACUGUGUUUAUAUUUCAUAGAAACUGUAAAGGUCCUGACACACCAAGCCGACAGUCGGCCGUCGACCAAAGUCGGGCUGUCGGUGAGCGUCUGUCGGCCUAGUUGUCGGCGGUGUGUCCCGCACCGUCGGCACUUUGGCGUCGGCAUCAGCGGCUUUUCAGCCGAUUGAGCAUGUUGAAAAGGGCGGCAAAGCUUGUCGGUGAGAGAGAUCACUCUGAUUGGCUGUUGAGGUUUUAUUUCCUCGCCCCUGUAGCGAGUGAAUCUGCCUAUAGUGAAACCGGGGCUAACCGGUGCUUCCUCCUCAGGCUCCACUUCACUCAGCUGCCCCACAGACCCGCUGCUUCUUCCCACUUUAACCUGAAUAACAAACCGGAGCUAGCUGGGAGCGGCUAGCGGAGCGUUAGCCGCAGCAUGACCGGAGGGAAGCACAGCCAGUUAGCCUCCGCUAGCUUCCCAGCUAGCCCCGGCUCUCCGUUUGGAUCCAACCGGAGCACCGAGCCCUGGUUUGUUAUUCAGGUUAAAGUGGGAAGAAGCAGCGGGUUUCACUCUCUCACUCUGCUCUCUCUCAGAACGUACGUGCUACUUGGCCAUCAGAUGUAGUCCGUGUAGUGUGUUCAAAUGCAACUGACACAGGGCGACGUGAGGCGACGUAGACGACGCAACAGUUGGCUUUCGUCGCCGCUAGUUCUUUGAUGCCGGUUUGGUGUGUCCGCACCUUUAGAGAUAGGGGGAGGAGCUCGGACAUCCAGAGGGAGCUCAGUAUAGAGCCGCUACUUCUUCAUGUUGAAAGGGGUCAGUUGAGGUGGUUCGGGCAUCUGAUCAGGAUCCUCCUGGGCGCCUUCUGUUAGAGGUGUUCCAGGCACGUCCCACUGGUAGGAGGCCCCGGGGCAGACCCAGAACACACUGGAGGGAUUACAUAUCUCAUCUGGCCUGGGAACACCUUGGGGUCUCCCAGGAGGAGCUGGAAAGCAUUGCUGAGGAGAGGGACGUCUGGGGUGCUUUGCUUGGCCUGCUGCCCCUGUGACCUGGCUCCAGCAUGUGCUGGGCGAGUCUUUUGGCAUUUCAGUCUUUACCAAGUUACCAACAAAUUUUGGACCUCACAUUAUGUGGCUCUGGACAAAUUUUGGCUUUGAUUAAGACCUGGAUUGAGACCAUUUAAGAAUGGGCGAGGAACAGUAAGCCUGCAAGCCCCCACUGUGCACAGACAUUUUGCAAGGCAGGUGCUCAAGUGGAAAAAAAUGGUUUCUCUUCCACAACUUUUUUUUUCUUUU